CCUACGGGUGGCUGCAGUAGGGAAUCUUCCACAAUGGGCGAAAGCCUGAUGGAGCAACGCCGCGUGGGUGAAGAAGGUCUUCGGAUUGUAAAACCUGUUGUUAGAGAAGAAAGUGCGUGAGAGUAACUGUUCACGUUUCGACGGUAUCUAACCAGAAAGCCACGGCUAACUACGUGCCAGCAGCCGCGGUAAUACGUAGGGGGCAAGCGUUAUCCGGCUUUAUUGGGCGUAAAGGGAACGCAGGCGGUCAUGUAAGUCUGAUGUGAAAGCCUUGGGCUGAAACGGAGGAGUGCAGUGGAAACUGGGCGACUUGAGUGCAGGAGAGGAGAGUGGAACUCCAGGUGUAGCGGUGAAAUGCGUAGAGAUAUGGAAGAACACCAGUGGCGAAAGCGGCUCUCUGGUCUGUAACUGACGCUGAGGUUCGAAAGCGUGGGUAGCAAACAGGAUUAGAUACCCGGGUAGUC
This 464-nucleotide ribosomal RNA is filed under the name uncultured bacterium. Its description in RNAcentral is "partial 16S ribosomal RNA". It matches the Rfam family "Bacterial small subunit ribosomal RNA", at positions 338 to 795 of the family's 1533-position model. The record is from RNAcentral.